UGCAAUCAAUGAUGUAAACUUUCCGACACUAUACUGAGUUAAUAUCAAUGAUUAAUUCGUAUAAUAUUCACCAUCUUUCGGCUGAGAUUGCA
Small nucleolar RNA from Amaranthus tricolor (Joseph's coat), 92 nucleotides. Lineage: Eukaryota; Viridiplantae; Streptophyta; Magnoliopsida; Caryophyllales; Amaranthaceae. The record is from RefSeq and is a predicted model, not a curated record.